CCAGGAGAGAUGAAAGUAUACAAAGCAAAGGAUACAGUGUCAAAUUCCAUCUUGAGAAAGGUUACUGUUGCAGAAGAAAAGCUGGCACUCAAGAGGGGAGCUGAAGUCAUGCUGUUGUAUAAUGUAUCUGAGAAGCUAAGGAAUGGAACAAGAGGAAGAGUUAUCGAUCUGAGUGAUGAUGGACCGACGGUAAACUUUUAUCAAGUCGGUAUAGUGAGUAAAGUGACGAAAUGUUCGUGGUUUGCAUAUAAACAUGGCACCAGUGAUAUUCUUGGGUCCCGAACCCAAUUCCCAUUGAAACUGGCAUAUGCAAUCACAGCUCAUAAGAGUCAAGGGCAGACCUUGAAAGCUGCUUGUGUUCAUUCUGGAAAGGAGUUUGUACCUGGACAGUUGUAUGUUGCCUGUUCUCGUGUGUCUUCUAUGCAAGGGUUGUCCAUUGUUAAUUUCAAUGAGCAGAAGCUGAUAAGAUCAUCAAGCAAGGUAGAUAGCUUUUAUGCUAAUUGUCGUGACGACGUACCUCUACAGUCGCAGAUGUGUUGUACCCAAAAAAAAAACAAUUCUAGUUGGAUUAAAUGGACAUAUGAUUGGAAUGCAGCAAUAUCCUGAUGAAAUUGAACUUGAUGAGCAGGAAUUGGAAGAGAUUGAUAAGAUUUGCAGCUCAUAUUUUACUGACAGUGAAAUUGAGCAGCAGGAUGUUGUAAACUUGGAGAUGGUAUUAACUGACAUUCUGUCACAGAUGUCUGGUGAUAUGUCUGAUUUAAAUAAGAUUUCUCCACUUGCCUUGUUGGGUGAGUUGAGAGAAAUGGUAAUCAAUACUUCUACCGUAUUAAGUGCAAGGAUUGUGGAUGUUAUCGAUCUGCUUAAGAAUGACAAAUACCUGCCAAAUGUAAAAUUGUUUGCAAACAUUCAGCAAAGUCGUCUUUACAAGUCAAAGAAGAAGAAGAAGAAUGAUAACUCAGUAAAGUUUGACUUUAAAAGUUUUAUGUCGGCUGAAGUGUCAUUGUGUGACGAUGAUGAUGUCGUGAAAGAAUGUGCUGCAAUGUUCGAUGUUUCUGAAAGGGAACUCACAGUGGAGCACUUCUGGGUGAUGAGCGAGCUUAUAACUGCAGUAAGGUCUGAUAUUAUUGGACAACUGUACAAUGUCAAAUUUGGUAGCAAUGCCAUGAUUGACACACAGAAGAAAAGUGUAUGGGAAAUGAGCAAAGAAGGUCAAGGCAAAGUAAGGUAUGUUGGUGGUUGGUCAAUUAUAAAAUUGAUUUAUGUUUUUAAGAAAUACAUAACAACCAAUUGUACAUCUACUACUUUACAMGUUAGGCAAGAAAUGCGUAAAAGGUAUGAAUGGAUUGAUAUGCUAGAGUCUUUAUUGAUUCAAAGUGCUAAUGUUCAYGAGUCUUCCAGCUAUAGUGAAACCUUGACUGUAACUGAUGUGAGGCAGUAUCGAAGUAAUGCACUGGUGUACGUAAAUGACAAGACCUUUGAGUUUUUUAUGGAMCUGGRGCAAAAGAGAAGCAAUUCUCUUUGUCAUGAGAAYCUGAAUGCUCUAAAAGGAAACAUGUURUCGAUUGCUGUGGAUGGUGUUAAAUGCAACAACAURCUAAARCAGAAAUGRAAAAACUUAUUUGUCAAAAGUGAUGAAAGUGAAAUGGAAGAGAGACAUAAUGCAGAUGUACACGUAUURUAUUGCAAAGUAGUUGAAAAGUACUUUCAAAUGGGAGCUGGUCAGUACAUUAGAGACUUCAGAAGGGAUUAUAAUGUGACAAAAACAGAAGCUCAUCGGAAGAGAGUGCAAGAGAAGAAACUUAUCAAGGAAAGACAAGCAGAAAAGGUGACCCUGGAAAGUAUUAAGCRAGAUACGAGUGAAAAUAAGCAAAAUUCACAUAGUCAGUUKCUAUGUUUAGUGUCUAAAAGACAAGAUGUAUUUGAAACUUCAUAUAGUAAAAAAGAGAUUGAAGUGUUGUUUAGAGCCUAUGGAAAGAGGUAUUACAGUAGUUGGACAAAAGUAAGACUCAAUGAARUUCUUGUCGAUUGUGUGAAAACAGCCACACAGUUUGCAGAUCCAAGCGUGUUUGUGAGCAGCUGAAAGUGAAAUGUAUUACUUGAGAUCUGUGUGAUCUCUUUUGAUCUGUGUGAUCAAUUAUAGCCUUUGUGGCASAAGUCAGUGUUCAAUAUAAAAACCUUUGUGGUUUUAUUUGGGAUCUAAGUGAUCUCGUGAUCUUUGUGAUCAUCAUGAAAUAGGCCUAUGUGGCCAUGUGAAACCGUGAUGUUGAUGUCCUCUGUACCUAUUUGGCAUAAAGAAUGUAAAGAAGCAUGCCAUAAAACUUCAAUUGCUACAAAUUACAUAUUGCUGUUCAUCGCAAGGGAACCUAAAGUGAUGCAAGGACACCAACAGCA
Exaiptasia diaphana is the source of this 2391-nucleotide RNA transcript. RefSeq lists it as uncharacterized. The transcript is spliced from 3 exons. NCBI's taxonomy places the organism in Eukaryota, Metazoa, Cnidaria, Anthozoa, Actiniaria, Aiptasiidae. The record is from RefSeq and is a predicted model, not a curated record.